This 499-nucleotide ribosomal RNA is filed under the name uncultured bacterium. Its description in RNAcentral is "partial 16S ribosomal RNA". It matches the Rfam family "Bacterial small subunit ribosomal RNA", at positions 28 to 507 of the family's 1533-position model. The record is from RNAcentral.
GAUGAGCGCUGGCGGCGUGCCUAAUACAUGCAAGUCGAGCGAACAGACGAGAGUGCUUGCACUCUCUGACGUUAGCGGCGGACGGGUGAGUAACACGUGGGUAACCUACCUAUAAGACUGGGAUAACUUCGGGAAACCGGAGCUAAUACCGGAUAAUAUUUAGCUUCGCAUGAAGCAAUAGUGAAAGACGGUUCUGCUGUCACUUAUAGAUGGACCCGCGGUGUAUUAGCUAGUUGGUGAGGUAACGGCUCACCAAGGCAACGAUACAUAGCCGACCUGAGAGGGUGAUCGGCCACACUGGGACUGAGACACGGCCCAGACUCCUACGGGAGGCAGCAGUAGGGAAUCUUCCGCAAUGGACGAAAGUCUGACGGAGCAAUGCCGCGUGAGUGAAGAAGGUUUUCGGAUCGUAAAACUCUGUUGUAAGGGAAGAACAAGUACGUUAGUAACUGAACGUACCUUGACGGUACCUUACCAGAAAGCCACGGCUAACUACGUG